CCUACGGGAGGCAGCAGUGGGGAAUAUUGCACAAUGGGCGCAAGCCUGAUGCAGCCAAUGCCGCGUGUAUGAAGAAGGCCUUCGGGUUGUAAAGUACUUUCAGCGGGGAGGAAGGUGUUGUGGCUAAUAACCGCAGCAAUUGACGUACCCGCAGAAGAAGCACCGGCUAACUCCGUGCCAGCAGCCGCGGUAAU
This 194-nucleotide ribosomal RNA is filed under the name uncultured bacterium. RNAcentral describes it as "partial 16S ribosomal RNA". It matches the Rfam family "Bacterial small subunit ribosomal RNA", at positions 338 to 524 of the family's 1533-position model. The record is from RNAcentral.